GUAGAGGUGGCGAUAGAGGUGAUGGUGGGUCUGGGCCUUGGCAGAUACGACAGAGACACCGUACAAGCAACGUAUAAUUAGUCUAAUGACAGUGCCGAGUGCUGUAGCUAUCCCGGAAGCUUGGAGAAGCGUCGUAAGAAUGGAGCACCGAUCAACCUAUGACCACAAUGCCCGUGGGAAUUUGGCUUCGAAAGCUCGUGACGCGUUUCAUCGUUCCUCUUCCAUUUCUACGCGCCUACCUGCACAGAGAAUACAUCCACCUCACGUACACUUGGGAAACGACGAACUGUAUCGUGGAGCGUGACUAAUUGUCAGCAAUAAUACCGGCGACUUAUCACACCGCCCUAAGUGUAAUAGCGAGCUAGGAAAGAUUUGCAGACUGUCUAGUGAUCCCAUGGUAAAAGAUGAAGAUUCCCUUUGUGCAGAAAUUUUAAUACUAUAUACCAAUGACUCCAUCUUAUUUAUCUCAAAACUGAACAAUGAAAAACGAACCGUUUGAUCUAUCUUUUAGUAAAGAUGAAAUAAGUAUAUCUUGAUAAUCAUCAGUUAAUUAAGACGAUUGGAAAGACAGUCCGAAGUAAGUAUCUUCCAAGACGAUAUAAAAAGUAAAAAAAUUGAGAAAAAGAAAACAUAAAAACGCAUGCAGAGGCAGAGAAAAAGUACGUUCUUUCGGCAGGUUGCCAAGGGGGAGGAGGGAAGAGGAAGCAGGUUUUCUACCCUUUAGAAAGCAUCGUUCCAACUGCAUCUUCGUGGAUGGAAUUUAAAAGCGGAUGAGUGUAGUAAGUUUUCAGUUUUCUUCAGCUUCUGCCACGAUUUUCUCUCUUUUCUUUUCUUGUUUUCUCUCUUUCUCUUCUUCUUCUUCUUCUUCUUCUACUUCUACUUCUUCUUCUUCUUCUUCUUCUUCUCUUGGUCGAAGAGCACUGAGAGUCUGGACUUCCAUUAAUCGUGAAAGCAAUUAUUACGAGGGAAAGGUCAUGGGGCAGACUCUUAAUCGUUCUGAGGUGUGAAUGCUAAUGAGUCCGAAGAACAUGGAGCCAAGAUGCUCGUUGUCCGCACUUUCGAGAAAAAGAACGCUUGUGGCGAUCUUAUAGCCUGACCUUGAUUAAUGCUGAGAAUAAAUGUACUCGAAAUAUUUUAUACUAUAUAGGUACAGUCUAAUGCCUUCUUGGUAGAUUAUAUAUCACGUCAGAAUUGGAUACAGCCAAGAAGAUGAUUGCGAGUGUGGUGUCAUUAUAUAGUUGCAACUAUCAUGCAGUUAAAGUUUCUUAUUCUUAUAUUAUAUGCGCACAUAUGUUCUACGUAUGUAAAACAUAUAUUUAUGCAUUAUAUGUAUAAGCGUUGAUAUUUUUCUUUUUUUUUUUUUUUUUAGAUUAGAUUCAUCAUUGGUAACAACAUAAAUUGAAGAAAAGAAUCUUAUAAUUAGCACGCAUAAGUGGGUCAUUACCGUUUUUGUUAGCCAUGCGUGUCGAUUUUAUCUCUCUGUUCUUUUUAGGUAUGUAAAUCUUUUCUCUAGGGAAUAUUUAAUCGUUUGAGUAAGCUCUUCGAGAUAGUUAACAAUAAAAAAUUUACGAUGAAAUAAUGUACUUCCAACGGAUAUUAAAGAAAUAUCAUACUUAUUUUUCUGAUUAGUAUCGGAUACAUGCGGUUUGUUGGUUUUCGAAUGAACCUUUCAAAAUUUUUUUCAAUGUAACGAGACGUUACGAGACUAACAGAGAUGAUGCGAUUUCACGGCAAUCGAACAUCCAUACUAUAGCAUAGCGGAUCUUAAUAAUCCUAUUUCAUCCUUCAUCUGUUCUUUAUCGUAUCUAUAUCCAUAUUGAGUUUUACAAUUUUUUUCAUAACCAUACCGACUAAUAACAGAAUGGAUUUGUAAGCUGAGAUGUAUGUACAUAAUCGGAUCUGUAGGUAUAACAUUAAUACUCCAAAAAUGGAUAUUCAAGUGAAAAGUAUCGGCUUUAGAAUUAUGAAAGAAGCUAAGUAUAAAAUCGUCCUGUUAUAAUCUUCAUAAUUGGUAAAAUUUAACAGGAUGAAGUUUCUUGGUAAUGUUAUAAAUUCUUUCAUGAACAAUAUACUUUUGAUACGUACUCGAUGUUAAAUGGAAUAAUUAACAACGUCACAAUUGGUAGUAAAUCUUGAUUUUCUUAAAGCUAGAAUGUAAUUCGGCCGACGUAACGAACCAAUGUACAUAACGAGCGCCUAAUUUAGAGUUAAGCUGCAAAGAGCAAGAGAGAAAGAGAAAGAGAGAGAAAGAGAGAGAGAGAGAGAGAGAGAGAAAAGUUGAGGAAGAGAGAAAACUGUCUAGUGUAGAGACGCCUUGCACCAGUGAAAAUAUAUCUACGAAACAGAAAUUGCAGUCUAGGACGAAAUUUAGUCUUGUUAACCUGACUCGGCAUUAAUGUACACUCGACGUAAUAGUUCCGUUAACCGGUAGUUAUGUCAAUUAGGUUUACUCGAACUGGCUGCUUUCGGAAUUAUUUAAAGAGUUAUUUCAGUGGUGGUCUCUAGCGAGAGUUACAAGAGAAGAUUAGGAUUAUGCUUUUGGGAGGUUUAAGGUGUCAGCAUCUAUUCGAAUUACUUUGUCUUAAUCAAUCCUAACCAAUUCAAACCUAUCAUAUAUUCCGUCCGAUUUGCAUAAUAAUCAGAGAUGACGUAAUCAGAGAAGAUAUAAGACAUCCGAAUUGAAAAAGGGAUCCUUCUGUGCAAUAAAAAAAAAUGAUCGAAUAAAAAGAUCAGCAAAAUAUUCAUUCAUUAUUACGGUUAAAUCAAUUAUCGAUGAAAGCGUUAAAGGCAGAAAACAACAAACACGCGUGUUGUAUAAAUCAGAUAUAUGAACGACGAAACUCGAUGAGUACGUAUCAUUGAGGUGCUUCUCUUUGGUUACAAAAUACAUUCACAUUGCCAACAGCGUUACGACGUUACGACGUAAUAUAACGGUGUACGUAAUACGAAAAGCCAUUGUGAAUUACGACUCGACGUUCGUGUUGCAUACGCGAUGCGACGACAAUUCAAGAGAACAUUUCACUUUCCACGGCACUUGCUUCAAUUCAAUCUUUAACCUAUCGUAGACCUGAAUACGAUCAUUACGUUGAUCUUCGAACGAGCAACAAUAAAACAAGGGACCAUUUUAUUUCGAUUAUUUUCUACGGCAAUACCAAUAGCCAAUACAAAUCCAAUUCAUUCCGAUUGGUAUGUCGAUCUUAAUAUUUCUUCUUUCUGGAAUUAUUACACAACGAUU
Long non-coding RNA from Vespa mandarinia (Asian giant hornet), 3235 nucleotides. The record is from RefSeq and is a predicted model, not a curated record. Lineage: Eukaryota; Metazoa; Arthropoda; Insecta; Hymenoptera; Vespidae.